This is a ribosomal RNA of 1356 nucleotides. It matches the Rfam family "Bacterial small subunit ribosomal RNA", at positions 72 to 1440 of the family's 1533-position model.
AGCCCAGCUUGCUGGGUGGAUUAGUGGCGAACGGGUGAGUAACACGUGAGUAACCUGCCCUUAACUCUGGGAUAAGCCUGGGAAACURGGUCUAAUACCGGAUAGGAGCGYCYACCGCAUGGUGGGUGUUGGAAAGAUUUAUCGGUUUUGGAUGGACUCGCGGCCUAUCAGCUUGUUGGUGAGGUAAUGGCUCACCAAGGCGACGACGGGUAGCCGGCCUGAGAGGGUGACCGGCCACACUGGGACUGAGACACGGCCCAGACUCCUACGGGAGGCAGCAGUGGGGAAUAUUGCACAAUGGGCGCAAGCCUGAUGCAGCGACGCCGCGUGAGGGAUGACGGCCUUCGGGUUGUAAACCUCUUUCAGUAGGGAAGAAGCGAAAGUGACGGUACCUGCAGAAGAAGCACCGGCUAACUACGUGCCAGCAGCCGCGGUAAUACGUAGGGUGCGAGCGUUAUCCGGAAUUAUUGGGCGUAAAGAGCUCGUAGGCGGUUUGUCGCGUCUGUCGUGAAAGUCCGGGGCUUAACCCCGGAUCUGCGGUGGGUACGGGCAGACUAGAGUGCAGUAGGGGAGACUGGAAUUCCUGGUGUAGCGGUGGAAUGCGCAGAUAUCAGGAGGAACACCGAUGGCGAAGGCAGGUCUCUGGGCUGUAACUGACGCUGAGGAGCGAAAGCAUGGGGAGCGAACAGGAUUAGAUACCCUGGUAGUCCAUGCCGUAAACGUUGGGCACUAGGUGUGGGGACCAUUCCACGGUUUCCGCGCCGCAGCUAACGCAUUAAGGCCCCGCCUGGGGAGUACGGCCGCAAGGCUAAAACUCAAAGGAAUUGACGGGGGCCCGCACAAGCGGCGGAGCAUGCGGAUUAAUUCGAUGCAACGCGAAGAACCUUACCAAGGCUUGACAUGUUCUCGAUCGCCGUAGAGAUACGGUUUCCCCUUUGGGGCGGGUUCACAGGUGGUGCAUGGUUGUCGUCAGCUCGUGUCGUGAGAUGUUGGGUUAAGUCCCGCAACGAGCGCAACCCUCGUUCCAUGUUGCCAGCACGUMRUGGUGGGGACUCAUGGGAGACUGCCGGGGUCAACUCGGAGGAAGGUGAGGACGACGUCAAAUCAUCAUGCCCCUUAUGUCUUGGGCUUCACGCAUGCUACAAUGGCCGGUACAAUGGGUUGCGAUACUGUGAGGUGGAGCUAAUCCCAAAAAGCCGGUCUCAGUUCGGAUUGGGGUCUGCAACUCGACCCCAUGAAGUCGGAGUCGCUAGUAAUCGCAGAUCAGCAACGCUGCGGUGAAUACGUUCCCGGGCCUUGUACACACCGCCCGUCAAGUCACGAAAGUUGGUAACACCCGAAGCCGGUGGCCUAACC